This 503-nucleotide ribosomal RNA is filed under the name uncultured bacterium. RNAcentral describes it as "partial 16S ribosomal RNA". It matches the Rfam family "Bacterial small subunit ribosomal RNA", at positions 30 to 523 of the family's 1533-position model. The record is from RNAcentral.
AUUGAACGCUGGCGGCAGGCUUAACACAUGCAAGUCGAGCGGGGUGAUGGUGCUUGCACUAUCACUUAGCGGCGGACGGGUGAGUAAUGCUUAGGAAUCUGCCUAUUAGUGGGGGACAACAUCUCGAAAGGGAUGCUAAUAACGCAUACGUCCUACGGGAGAAAGCAGGGGAUCACUUGUGACCUUGCGCUAAUAGAUGAGCCUAAGGCGGAUUAGCUAGGUGGUGGGGUAAAGGCCUACCAAGGCGACGAUCUGUAGCGGGUCUGAGAGGAUGAUCCGCCACACUGGGACUGAGACACGGCCCAGACUCCUACGGGAGGCAGCAGUGGGGAAUAUUGGACAAUGGGGGGAACCCUGAUCCAGCCAUGCCGCGUGUGUGAAGAAGGCCUUAUGGUUGUAAAGCACUUUAAGCGAGGAGGAGGCUCUUUUGGUUAAUACCCAAGAUGAGUGGACGUUACUCGCAGAAUAAGCACCGGCUAACUCUGUGCCAGCCGCCGCCGUAA